CCUACGGGAGGCAGCAGUGGGGAAUAUUGGACAAUGGGCGAAAGCCUGAUCCAGCCAUGCCGCGUGUGUGAAGAAGGCCUUCGGGUUGUAAAGCACUUUCAGUGGGGAAGAAAGCCUUGGGGCUAAUACCCUCGAGGAAGGACAUCACCCACAGAAGAAGCACCGGUUAACUCCGUGCCAGCAGCCGCGGUAAUACGGAGGGUGCGAGCGUUAAUCGGAAUUACUGGGCGUAAAGCGCGCGUAGGCGGUCUGAUAAGCCGGUUGUGAAAGCCCCGGGCUCAACCUGGGAACGGCAUCCGGAACUGUCAGGCUAGAGUGCAGGAGAGGAAGGUAGAAUUCCCGGUGUAGCGGUGAAAUGCGUAGAGAUCGGGAGGAAUACCAGUGGCGAAGGCGGCCUUCUGGACUGACACUGACGCUGAGGUGCGAAAGCGUGGGUAGCAAACAGGAUUAGAUACCCCUGUAGUC
RNAcentral lists this ribosomal RNA (465 nucleotides) under Vreelandella stevensii. RNAcentral's name for it is "partial 16S ribosomal RNA". It matches the Rfam family "Bacterial small subunit ribosomal RNA", at positions 338 to 795 of the family's 1533-position model. The record is from RNAcentral. Lineage: Bacteria; Pseudomonadati; Pseudomonadota; Gammaproteobacteria; Oceanospirillales; Halomonadaceae.